ACACUCACUUUUAAGUAGCAACGGGUUUACUCCUUGUGUUCUCAAAUAUAAGAGUUUAAUCUUGUAAGUCAAACAUUGCUAAGUUGUACUAAGUUUUUUAAAAAGAAAAAUAAUCAUUAUGAUGAAAAAUUAGCAUCAUUGAAUACGUUAUGAAAUAUAUUUUUAUAAUUUAUAUCUUCGAUGUGUUAGGUGUUAAUGCUCUUCUCAAUAAAGUUAGUCAAACUUAUUAUAGUUUUGAUCCAAAACAAAUUGGAUGCCUUAUUUUUUCACAACAGAACAAGUACUUUUUUUUAGUUUACCCAAAAAAACAAUAUAAUGCACGCAACACGCCCACACUCAUGUACCUAGGCUUAUCUAUACGAAUGCACGCAUACAGUUUAACUUUGAAUGUUUUCAUCAAGAGGCUAGGCAAACCUUACAGAAAUUAACAAAGUAACCAAAAUAAGUAUUCUCGUUUGAGCCAACAACCACCUUUGAUCCACAAAAGGAAAAAAAAACAAGUUUAAAAUAAUAUAAAUGGAAAUACACGCACCUGAACGGGAGAUUCAAACUUUGGGUGUCAAGUUUAACUAGAAGAUUCUUUUAAAAAAAAAGUUUAACCAGAAGAACGUAGUCGACACGCUCCAGUUUGCGUUUGCAAGUCCUAAUAAAUUCCUCCAUGUAGAAUUCCCAAAUAAAUAACCAACCAUAUAAGAUUUCUCACCGUUUGAAAUACCGAGAUUUAGAAGGAACAUAACACAUGUUCGUAUAUAUAGUAGUUACCAAGUAGCAGUGAUUCCGUCGGCAUAAAAAAAAAGUGAUUCCGUAAAGUGCGGGGAAAGCAGUGUGAGCCUGUGAGGUCAGUGGCACUAGGACUCGAUUCCGGCG
This 867-nucleotide long non-coding RNA is filed under the name Sorghum bicolor (sorghum). RNAcentral describes it as "long non-coding RNA (SBIC_LNC016727)". The record is from RNAcentral. Lineage: Eukaryota; Viridiplantae; Streptophyta; Magnoliopsida; Poales; Poaceae.